Molecule: ribosomal RNA, 493 nt
Filed under: Remoya sp. INHS148
Lineage: Eukaryota; Metazoa; Arthropoda; Insecta; Hemiptera; Cicadellidae
Description: partial large subunit ribosomal RNA
Rfam family: Bacterial large subunit ribosomal RNA (bases 360-493)
Source: RNAcentral
AAGGUAGGUUUUGCCCUAUGAUUUAUUUUAAAUGGCUGCAGUAUAUUGACUGUGCAAAGGUAGCAUAAUAAGUAGUUUCUUAAUUGGGGACUGGUAUGAAUGGAUUAAUGAGGGAUUAUUUUUAUUAUUUAAAUUUUUUGAAUUUAAUUUUUAGGUCAAAAAGCUUAAUUAUUUAUUUGGGACGAUAAGACCCUAUAGAACUUUUUAAAUAAAAUCAAAUUUGUAUUUUGGUAAAUAUUUUAUUUUUAUGACUUUUUUAUUUCAUUGGGGCGGUGGUUAAAUUUAAACUUUAUUUUUAUUUUUCAUUUUAAUUGUAUUUUUGAUCUCUAUUAAGGAUUUUAAGAUUAAGUUACCUUAGGGAUAACAGCGUAAUUUUAAUGGGGAGUUCAUAUUUAUAUUAAAGUUUGCGACCUCGAUGUUGAAUUAAGAUUAGGUUAAGGGGCAGGUUCUUUAAUUUUUAGUCUGUUCGACUAUUAAAUUCUUACAUGAUUUG